RNAcentral lists this ribosomal RNA (468 nucleotides) under uncultured bacterium. Its description in RNAcentral is "partial 16S ribosomal RNA". It matches the Rfam family "Bacterial small subunit ribosomal RNA", at positions 28 to 507 of the family's 1533-position model. The record is from RNAcentral.
GACGAACGCUGGCGGCGCGCCUAACACAUGCAAGUCGAACGGAGCUGAGAGAAGCUUGCUUUUCUUAGCUUAGUGGCGAACGGGUGAGUAACGCGUGAGUAACCUGCCCUGGAGUGGGGGACAACAGUUGGAAACGACUGCUAAUACCGCAUAAGCCCACGAUCCGGCAUCGGAUUGAGGGAAAAGGAUUUAUUCGCUUCAGGAUGGACUCGCGUCCAAUUAGCUAGUUGGUGAGGUAACGGCCCACCAAGGCGACGAUUGGUAUCCGGACUGAGAGGUUGAACGGCCACAUUGGGACUGAGACACGGCCCAGACUCCUACGGGAGGCAGCAGUGGGGGAUAUUGUACAAUGGGGGAAACCCUGAUGCAGCGACGCCGCGUGGAGGAAGAAGGUUUUCGGAUUGUAAACUCCUGUCGUUAGGGACGAUAAUGACGGUACCUAACAAGAAAGCACCGGCUAACUACGUG